UACGUAGGGCGCAAGCGUUGUCCGGAAUUAUUGGGCGUAAAGAGCUCGUAGGCGGUUUGUCGCGUCUGCUGUGAAAACUCGAGGCUCAACCUCGGGCUUGCAGUGGGUACGGGCAGACUAGAGUGCGGUAGGGGUGACUGGAAUUCCUGGUGUAGCGGUGAAAUGCGCAGAUAUCAGGAGGAACACCGGUGGCGAAGGCGGGUCUCUGGGCCGAUACUGACGCUGAGGAGCGAAAGCGUGGGGAGCAAACAGG
This 253-nucleotide ribosomal RNA is filed under the name uncultured bacterium. RNAcentral describes it as "partial 16S ribosomal RNA". It matches the Rfam family "Bacterial small subunit ribosomal RNA", at positions 524 to 776 of the family's 1533-position model. The record is from RNAcentral.